This is a non-coding RNA of Elaeis guineensis (African oil palm), 799 nucleotides long. NCBI's taxonomy places the organism in Eukaryota, Viridiplantae, Streptophyta, Magnoliopsida, Arecales, Arecaceae. The record is from RefSeq and is a predicted model, not a curated record.
GACUCGGGUCUCCUCCGUUGAGUCCCUUCUCAGCCCUUAUCACGCCUCCAAACCCUCGACUCUCGAGUCAGAACGCCGUACCUCCCUUCUUCUCUCGCCGGCCGCCAUUUCUCUGAUCGCCGCCGCAUUCUAUCACGUUAUUCGUUGGACGUCGCAGCCAUCACCGGUCGCUUCUGCCCCAACCAAAAGCACUUCUGUGGCUCCGCCUGCGCACCGUAAUCCUCAGCCAUGAAGGUGAGGUCAUCAGUGAAGAAACUCUGUGAAUUUUGCAGAACGGUUAAGCGCCGUGGGAGAGUCUAUGUAUUAUGCACUGCCAAUCCCAAGCACAAGCAGCGUCAAGGCAUAUCAACAUUUGCUUAUGAGGGUCCACUGCCUCCUGCGUCAUCGGAGGUUGCCCCAAAUCAGGAAAAAUCGGCUAGCAACAGUUGGCCCAUAGGGCUCGCAUCCCUUCUAAAGAAACAAGACAAUUAAGUUGAAGAUGCAGGCAGAGUACAACGACUGGAUUACUUCUGAAUCACUAGGAACACCUGCUGUAUAUCAUCACAGCCUUGGAUGCUCUUUGCCAUAUCUUAAUAAGCUAGCUCUGUUAUUAUUUUCAGGUCAGAAUUUGUAACUGAUGGGUGCAGACGACAUAUAUUCGUGGCCCAAUGCUUCUUGUAAGGAAUAAUAUGGUAUGUGCAAUUCUGAGUCUCUAAUUGCCAUACCAAGCAUUACGUGUUGCUUUCAGGUAUCCUUGCAAAUAUUUCGCUAGCAUAAAAUUCUCAACGGGUUCAUUUAUUGUGUCUGCUUUGGGAUCCAA